This 665-nucleotide ribosomal RNA is filed under the name Scrippsiella sp. MG-2014. RNAcentral's name for it is "LSU rRNA". It matches the Rfam family "Eukaryotic large subunit ribosomal RNA", at positions 1 to 653 of the family's 3401-position model. The record is from RNAcentral. Lineage: Eukaryota; Dinophyceae; Peridiniales; Peridiniaceae.
GAAGACAUGAAGUUAGGUCAACAAACCCGCUGAAUUUAAGCAUAUAAGUAAGCGGAGGAAAAGAAACUAAAUAGGAUUCCCUUAGUAAUGGCGAAUGAACAGGGAUGAGCUCAGUAUGGAAAUCGGGGCCUGUGGCUUCGAAUUGUAGUCUGGAGAUGUACCACCAACUGGGGCGCAGAUGUAAGCCUCUUGGAAAAGAGCAUCAAUGAGGGUGAGAGUCCCGCUUGGCAUCUGCAGUCCCCAGUGUACGGUGUACCUUCUUAGAGUCACGUUCCUCGGGAUUGGAGCGCAAAUCGGGUGGUAAGUUUCAUCUAAAGCUAAAUAUUGUUUCGAGACCGAUAGCAAACAAGUACCAUGAGGGAAAGGUGAAAAGGACUUUGAAAAGAGAGUUAAAAGUGCCUGAAAUUGCUGAAAGGGAAGCGAAUGGGACCAGUGUAUCUUGGUGAGAUUGCUGCGUGUCAAUGUGAUUGCUUGCUGCUUCAACAUAAGUGUGGUAGUAAGUCUUGAGCAGGACAUGUGUGGUGCUUCUUGCCUUGUGUGUCACCUUCAGUUCGCAGCUGGGGAAAACUUCAGGGACAUGGUAGCCUGUCUCCGGGUGGGUGAAUGUGUCUGUUGGAACUCAUKUGYGGAUUGCUUGGUGACUAAAUGGUUCCAUCUGACCCGUC